This 553-nucleotide ribosomal RNA is filed under the name uncultured archaeon. RNAcentral describes it as "bacterial SSU rRNA". It matches the Rfam family "Archaeal small subunit ribosomal RNA", at positions 326 to 879 of the family's 1478-position model. The record is from RNAcentral.
CGGGGUGCAGCAGGCGCGAAAACUUCACAAUGGGGGCAACCCCGAUGAGGGAAUUCCAAGUGCUAGCACUUUUUGUGUUAGCUGUUCUUUUGUCUAAAAAACAAGAGAAGUAAGGGCCGGGUAAGACGGGUGCCAGCCGCCGCGGUAAUACCCGCGGCCCGAGUGGUGGUCGAUAUUAUUGAGCCUAAAACGUUCGUAGCCGGUCUUGUAAAUCCUUGGGUAAAUCGGCCAGCUUAACUGUCCGAAGUCCGGGGAGACUGCAAGACUUGGGAUCGGGAGAGGUCAGAGGUACUUCUGGGGUAGGGGUAAAAUCCUGUAAUCCUAGAAGGACCACCGGAGGCGAAGGCGUCUGACUAGAACGAAUUCGACGGUGAGGAACGAAGCCCUGGGGCGCAAACGGGAUUAGAUACCCCGGUAGUCCAGGGUGUAAACGCUGCGGGCUUGGUGUUGGGGGUCCUUAGUGGGCGCCCAGUGCCGGAGAGAAGUUGUUAAGCCUGCUGCUUGGGGAGUACGUCCGCAAGGAUGAAACUUAAAGGAAUUGGCGGGGGAGCAC